Long non-coding RNA from Panicum virgatum (switchgrass), 980 nucleotides. RefSeq lists it as uncharacterized. NCBI's taxonomy places the organism in Eukaryota, Viridiplantae, Streptophyta, Magnoliopsida, Poales, Poaceae. The record is from RefSeq and is a predicted model, not a curated record. The transcript is spliced from 4 exons.
ACUUUCUUCUCUCGGUCCGAGCCGCCGCCCUUCACGCGCUGGAGCACCGCGGCUCGAGGCCCGACCGCGUCCGCCGCUGCAACGAGCUUGCGUCGCGCUCCAUCCUCAUGGUCUGCGCCAACCCGACUGCUCUACGCGCCGACUCGGGGCCACGGCCACUGGCCAUGUGAGGCGCUGGCGCAUGGUCCCUGGGCGCCGCCGCAGCCGCAUACCCCGUGGGCGCCGGCCGCUCGCGCGUGGGCAACGGGCGCCAGACACAGGCACGCGUGCCAGGCAUCUGCGUCCUAUGGGGCGGUCCCUCUGUACAAUGGCGGCCCUGGCCGCCGGCCGCUUCGUCGAGUGCUGUGCGCAGGUGAGAUCUGCCUCCCUUCCGUAAGAUUCAGAAAUGGGACAUAUGGAGCCGUCGAACUCUUGAUUCGUCAUAUGGACCUAGGGAGCGCCGAUGCGUGUGGCUAGCUUUUCUAGCGCCAAGUGAGGGAAUGGACUAAUGUACAAAUGGUUUUGGAGGAGGGAAGUGCUGUUCUGGGUUUGCUGUUACCGACAAAGGGAAGCAACGCCUUCUAUAGGCUUUAGGUUAGGUGAUUUAAAGGGUGAAGUGGCAAUUAGAAGAGAAGAGAAGUCUCGCAGAGAAGAAAUAAUCAUGGCUAGCCAAAUAUGCUGCCACAACACUCUCAUCAAAACUGAUAGGUGGUGAAAAAGAAUUAUUUGCUUCCUUAGUUGCUGCUGCUGAUUCAUACUCUUGAUGAAACCUAUCUUUUGUUGUUUCUGGAACAUUUUGUUGUCUUUGAUCCUGCAAUGUUAUAUUGCUAGUUCUGAUACAUGGAAAAAAUUGUAUGUGAUCCAUUAUUCUGGUGUAGUGAUGCUGGGAUGCUAUUGAUAUGAGGUUAUAAUUUGGGCUGUAAUUGAUUAUUGUGACUUCUGGGCUGGAAUUGUUGUUUUGGUAAAUGGGCUGUGUGAAAGCUGAAUUUUUUCCAGUACUA